RNAcentral lists this small nucleolar RNA (134 nucleotides) under Sorex araneus (European shrew). Lineage: Eukaryota; Metazoa; Chordata; Mammalia; Eulipotyphla; Soricidae. The record is from RNAcentral.
UGGCCCAUUUACAACAUUUUUCUCAAGCAGUUAUGGUCAAAAACGAAUUACAUCUUUGUGUGCUAAACUAACCUUUGGAAGUAAAUUAGCAGCUUGCUUGUUUAGCCAUUGCUGUCAGUCACCUUCAGACAAAU